Molecule: ribosomal RNA, 1696 nt
Filed under: uncultured eukaryote
Lineage: Eukaryota
Description: SSU rRNA
Rfam family: Eukaryotic small subunit ribosomal RNA
Source: RNAcentral
UAAGCCAUGCAUGUCUAAGUAUAAGUAUUAUACAGCGAAACUGCGAAUGGCUCAUUAAAACCGUUAUAGUUUAUUCGAUUAUUUUCUCCUACAUGGAUAACCGUAGUAAUUCUAGAGCUAAUACAUGCUGUCAAACCUGACUUUUGUGGAAGGGUUGUAUUUAUUAGAUAUAAAACCAAUACCCAGCAAUGGGUUUUGUGAUGAUUCAUAAUAACUGAACGGACCGCGGCCGUGCUGCGGCGAAUCGUUCAAGUUUCUGCCCUAUCAGCUUUCGAUGGUAGUGUAUUGGACUACCAUGGCGAUCACGGGUAACGGGGAAUUAGGGUUCGAUUCCGGAGAGGGAGCCUGAGAAAUGGCUACCACAUCUAAGGAAGGCAGCAGGCGCGUAAAUUACCCAAUCCUGACACAGGGAGGUAGUGACAAUAAAUAACAAUGCGGAGCUCUUUGAGUUUCGUAAUUGGAAUGAGAACAACGUAAAUACCUUAACGAGAACCAAUUGGAGGGCAAGUCUGGUGCCAGCAGCCGCGGUAAUUCCAGCUCCAAUAGCGUAUAUUAAAGUUGUUGUGGUUAAAAAGCUCGUAGUUGGAUCUCAGCUCACGCUUGGCGGUCCACAAUGCGUGGUUACUGCCAGGCUGAGCACUUUACCGCAUUGUCCUGUGGUGCUUUUCAUCGAGUGUCACAGGCGGUCGGUACGUUUACUUUGAAAAAAUUAGAGUGCUCAAAGCAGGCAUUUCGCCUGAAUACUGUUGCAUGGAAUAAUGAAAUAGGACUUUGGUUCUAUUUUGUUGGUUUCUAGGACCGAAGUAAUGAUUAAUAGGGACAGUUGGGGGCAUUAGUAUUUAAUUGUCAGAGGUGAAAUUCUUGGAUUUAUGAAAGACUAACUUCUGCGAAAGCAUUUGCCAAGGAUGUUUUCAUUAAUCAAGAACGAAAGUUAGGGGAUCGAAGACGAUUAGAUACCGUCGUAGUCUUAACCAUAAACUAUGCCGACUAGGGAUCUGUGGGUGUUUUUUCAAGACUCCAUGGGCACCUUGUGAGAAAUCAAAGUUUUUGGGUUCCGGGGGGAGUAUGGUCGCAAGGCUGAAACUUAAAGGAAUUGACGGAAGGGCACCACAAGGAGUGGAGCCUGCGGCUUAAUUUGACUCAACACGGGGAAACUUACCAGGUUCAGACAUAGGUAGGAUUGACAGAUUGAGAGCUCUUUCUUGAUUCUAUGGGUGGUGGUGCAUGGCCGUUCUUAGUUGGUGGAGUGAUUUGUCUGGUUAAUUCCGUUAACGAACGAGACCUUAACCUGCUAACUAGUCGCCUUUACAUCAUAGGGGUUGACUUCUUAGAGGGACUUUGUGUGCAAGCACAAAGAAGUUUGAGGCAAUAACAGGUCUGUGAUGCCCUUAGAUAUCCUGGGCCGCACGCGUGCUACACUGAUGCGUUCAACAAGUUCUAUCCUGGCUCGGAAGAGUUCGGGUAACCUUUUUAAUGCGCAUCGUGAUGGGGAUAGAUCUUUGGAAUUAUAGAUCUUGAACGAGGAAUUCCUAGUAAGCAUAAGUCAUCAUCUUGUGCUGAUUACGUCCCUGCCCUUUGUACACACCGCCCGUCGCUCCUACCGAUUUUGAGUGGUCCGGUGAACCUUCUGGACUGCAUCUGGAUUCAAUCCAAGUGUGGGAAGUUAAGUAAACCUUAUCACUUAGAGGAAGGAGAA